GACGAACGCUGGCGGCGUGCUUAACACAUGCAAGUCGAACGGUAAGGCCUUUCGGGGUAGCCGAGCGGCGAACGGGGGAGCAACACGUGGGUGAUUUGCUCUGCAUCUCCGGUUAAGCCUGGGAUAACGGGGCUAAUAUCACGCAUGUCCCCCUUUCGCCCGACGGGUGGAGGAAGGGUUUAUCGGUGCAGGAUGGGCGCGCGGGCGAUCAGCUCGGUGGUGGGGUAAUGGCAUACAAAGGCGACGACGGGUAGCCGACCUUAGCAGGUCACCGGGCACACUGGGACUGCGACACGGACCAGAGUCCAACGUGAGGCAGCAGUGGGGAAUAUUACACAAUGGGCGAGCGCCUGAGGCAGCGACGUCGCGUGUGGGAUGACGUCCUUCGGGUUGUAAACCUCUUUCGGCAGAGACGAAGCGGAAGUGACGGUACCUGCAGAAGAAGCACCGGCUAACUACGUG
RNAcentral lists this ribosomal RNA (462 nucleotides) under uncultured bacterium. RNAcentral's name for it is "partial 16S ribosomal RNA". It matches the Rfam family "Bacterial small subunit ribosomal RNA", at positions 28 to 507 of the family's 1533-position model. The record is from RNAcentral.